This 81-nucleotide transfer RNA is filed under the name Bougainvillea spectabilis. RNAcentral's name for it is "tRNA-Gln". It matches the Rfam family "tRNA". From Rfam's summary of the family: Transfer RNA (tRNA) molecules are approximately 80 nucleotides in length. Their secondary structure includes four short double-helical elements and three loops (D, anti-codon, and T loops). Further hydrogen bonds mediate the characteristic L-shaped molecular structure. tRNAs have two regions of fundamental functional importance: the anti-codon, which is responsible for specific mRNA codon recognition, and the 3' end, to which the tRNAs corresponding amino acid is attached (by aminoacyl-tRNA synthetases). tRNAs cope with the degeneracy of the genetic code in two manners: having more than one tRNA (with a specific anti-codon) for a particular amino acid; and 'wobble' base-pairing, i.e. permitting non-standard base-pairing at the 3rd anti-codon position. Lineage: Eukaryota; Viridiplantae; Streptophyta; Magnoliopsida; Caryophyllales; Nyctaginaceae. The record is from RNAcentral.
AAGGAUGUAGCGCAGCUUGGUAGCGCCUUUGUUUUGUUUUGGGUAAAGAAUGUCACGGGUUCCAAUCCUGUCAUCCCUACC